RNAcentral lists this non-coding RNA (45 nucleotides) under Schistosoma mansoni. The record is from RNAcentral. Lineage: Eukaryota; Metazoa; Platyhelminthes; Trematoda; Strigeidida; Schistosomatidae.
AUCCGUCUGACGAGUCCCAAAUAGGACGAAAUGCGCGUCUUGGAU